This is a non-coding RNA of Heterocephalus glaber (naked mole-rat), 575 nucleotides long. The record is from RefSeq and is a predicted model, not a curated record. NCBI's taxonomy places the organism in Eukaryota, Metazoa, Chordata, Mammalia, Rodentia, Bathyergidae.
CUUCCUGACCCGGCUGCUAGACACUCAGUCCCGUCAGCCACCGCGGCUCCUUCGCUGCCGAGAAUGCGCAAAAUCAAACUGCGAGCUCUGGAAUCUAACUCGUCUGGCGACUCAACCUUUCAACAUUUAUUUUGUGACGACGUUAAAUAACACCAACACCUGAACUUCAGAAAAUAUCCCAGCUCUCUUUUGCAAGCGAAAAAAGAAGAAAAACAACAACAACAACAACAACAACAACAAAAACAAGCGAGGCUAGCAAAGGGAAAUCCUGACAUAGAGCCCAGCUUCUAAACUCCAACCCGGGCCCUGUCCACAACUGUGAACUGUCUAAGUAAAGGACUUUAGAUUUAGAAGCAUCAUUAAGGGGUGAAAAUAACGCAACAAAAACCAAUCUUUGGCCUUACCUACGCCCUGCAGCGGUUCUUUCCUGACUGUUGGGACCUAACACAGCACCAUAGCUAGUGCUCGACUAUUCUGUAGCUGUCGUUUAAUUACUACUGGUUACUCCUUAAAUUACUUAAUCUGUGUUUUCUCAUCUGGAAAGAGGAUCAUAAUUGCACUAGUGUAGCAGCAAA